CCUACGGGGGGCAGCAGUGGGGAAUAUUGGACAAUGGGGGGAACCCUGAUCCAGCCAUGCCGCGUGUGUGAAGAAGGCCCUCGGGUUGUAAAGCACUUUCAGUGAGGAAGAACGCCUGGUGGUGAAUACCCAUCAGGAAAGACAUCACUCACAGAAGAAGCACCGGCUAACUCCGUGCCAGCAGCCGCGGUAAUACGGAGGGUGCGAGCGUUAAUCGGAAUUACUGGGCGUAAAGCGCGCGUAGGUGGCUUGAUAAGCCGGUUGUGAAAGCCCCGGGCUCAACCUGGGAACGGCAUCCGGAACUGUCAAGCUAGAGUGCAGGAGAGGAAGGUAGAAUUCCCGGUGUAGCGGUGAAAUGCGUAGAGAUCGGGAGGAAUACCAGUGGCGAAGGCGGCCUUCUGGACUGACACUGACACUGAGGUGCGAAAGCGUGGGUAGCAAACAGGAUUAGAUACCCCGGUAGUC
Molecule: ribosomal RNA, 465 nt
Filed under: Vreelandella stevensii
Lineage: Bacteria; Pseudomonadati; Pseudomonadota; Gammaproteobacteria; Oceanospirillales; Halomonadaceae
Description: partial 16S ribosomal RNA
Rfam family: Bacterial small subunit ribosomal RNA
Source: RNAcentral